RNAcentral lists this ribosomal RNA (465 nucleotides) under uncultured bacterium. Its description in RNAcentral is "bacterial SSU rRNA". It matches the Rfam family "Bacterial small subunit ribosomal RNA", at positions 338 to 795 of the family's 1533-position model. The record is from RNAcentral.
CCUACGGGAGGCAGCAGUGGGGAAUAUUGCACAAUGGGCGCAAGCCUGAUGCAGCCAUGCCGCGUGUGUGAAGAAGGCCUUCGGGUUGUAAAGCACUUUCAGCGGGGAGGAAGGCGCCAAGGUUAAUAGCCUUGGCGAUUGACGUUACCCGCAGAAGAAGCACCGGCUAACUCCGUGCCAGCAGCCGCGGUAAUACGGAGGGUGCAAGCGUUAAUCGGAAUUACUGGGCGUAAAGCGCACGCAGGCGGUCUGUCAAGUCGGAUGUGAAAUCCCCGGGCUCAACCUGGGAACUGCAUUCGAAACUGGCAGGCUAGAGCCCCGUAGAGGGGGGUAGAAUUCCAGGUGUAGCGGUGAAAUGCGUAGAGAUCUGGAGGAAUACCGGUGGCGAAGGCGGCCCCCUGGACAAAGACUGACGCUCAGGUGCGAAAGCGUGGGGAGCAAACAGGAUUAGAUACCCGUGUAGUC